GACGAACGCUGGCGGCGUGCUUAUCACAUGCAAGUCGAGCGGUAAGGCCUUUCGGGGUACACGAGCGGCGAACGGGUGAGUAACACGUGGGUGAUCUGCCCUGCACUUCGGGAUAAGCCUGGGAAACUGGGUCUAAUACCGGAUAUGACCUCCUAUCGCAUGGUGGGUGGUGGAAAGAUUUAUCGGUGCAGGAUGGGCCCGCGGCCUAUCAGCUUGUUGGUGGGGUAAUGGCCUACCAAGGCGACGACGGGUAGCCGACCUGAGAGGGUGACCGGCCACACUGGGACUGAGACACGGCCCAGACUCCUACGGGAGGCAGCAGUGGGGAAUAUUGCACAAUGGGCGAAAGCCUGAUGCAGCGACGCCGCGUGAGGGAUGACGGCCUUCGGGUUGUAAACCUCUUUCAGCAGGGACGAAGCGCAAGUGACGGUACCUGCAGAAGAAGCACCGGCUAACUACGUG
Molecule: ribosomal RNA, 462 nt
Filed under: uncultured bacterium
Lineage: Bacteria
Description: partial 16S ribosomal RNA
Rfam family: Bacterial small subunit ribosomal RNA
Source: RNAcentral